UCCAGAGAAUUUAGCAGAGAUGCUUUAGUGCCUUCGGGAACUCUGAGACAGGUGCUGCAUGGCUGUCGUCAGCUCGUGUUGUGAAAUGUUGGGUUAAGUCCCGNAACGAGCGCAACCCUUAUCCUUUGUUGCCAGCACGUAAUGGUGGGAACUCAAAGGAGACUGCCGGUGAUAAACCGGAGGAAGGUGGGGAUGACGUCAAGUCAUCAUGGCCCUUACGAGUAGGGCUACACACGUGCUACAAUGGCGCAUACAAAGAGAAGCGACCUCGCGAGAGCAAGCGGACCUCAUAAAGUGCGUCGUAGUCCGGAUUGGAGUCUGCAACUCGACUCCAUGAAGUCGGAAUCGCUAGUAAUCGUAAAUCAGAAUGUUACGGUGAAUACGUUCCCGGGCCUUGUACACACCGCCCGUCACACCAUGGGAGUGGGUUGCAAAAGAAGUAGAUAGCUUAACCUUCGGGAGGGCGUUUACCACUUUGUGAUUCAUGACUGGGGUGAAGUCGUAACAAGGUAGGCGUAGUGCU
This 523-nucleotide ribosomal RNA is filed under the name uncultured bacterium. RNAcentral's name for it is "bacterial SSU rRNA". It matches the Rfam family "Bacterial small subunit ribosomal RNA", at positions 987 to 1509 of the family's 1533-position model. The record is from RNAcentral.